RNAcentral lists this transfer RNA (59 nucleotides) under Proasellus coxalis. RNAcentral's name for it is "transfert RNA-T(ACA)". The record is from RNAcentral. Lineage: Eukaryota; Metazoa; Arthropoda; Malacostraca; Isopoda; Asellidae.
GCCCCUGUAGUUUAAUAAAAAUUCUAAUCUUGUAAGUUAGAGAUGUUCUCCCAGGGGUA